RNAcentral lists this ribosomal RNA (402 nucleotides) under uncultured bacterium. Its description in RNAcentral is "bacterial SSU rRNA". It matches the Rfam family "Bacterial small subunit ribosomal RNA", at positions 355 to 774 of the family's 1533-position model. The record is from RNAcentral.
UGGGGAAUCUUGCACAAUGGGGGCAACCCUGAUGCAGCGACGCCGCGUGAGCGAUGAAGCCCUUCGGGGCGUAAAGCUCUUUCGACCGGAACGAUAAUGACGGUACCGGGAGAAGAAGCUGCGGCUAACUACGAGCCAGCAGCCGCGGUAAUACGUAGGCAGCAAGCGUUGUUCGGAGUUACUGGGCGUAAAGAGUGCGUAGGCGGUUUUCUAAGUUCGGUGUGAAAUCUCCCGGCUUAACUGGGAGGGUGCGCCGAAGACUGGGAAGCUGGAGUGUGGGAAAGGCAGGCGGAAUUCCUGGUGUAGCGGUGAAAUGCGUAGAUAUCAGGAGGAACACCGGCGGUGUAGACGGCUUGCUAGACCAUAACUGACGCUGAGGCACGAAAGCGUGGGUAGCAAACA